Molecule: ribosomal RNA, 508 nt
Filed under: uncultured bacterium
Lineage: Bacteria
Description: partial 16S ribosomal RNA
Source: RNAcentral
AGAGUUAGCCGUCUCUUCCUCUUGAGGUACUAUCAACCUUGCACGCUUCUCACGCACAAGGCUUGCUCCCUCAUGACAGCGGUUUACAAUCCGAAGACCUUCUUCCCUCACGCGGCGUUGCUGGGUCAGGCUUUCGCCCAUUGCCCAAUAUUCCCCACUGCUGCCUCCCGUAGGAGUCUGGACCGUGUCUCAGUUCCAGUGUGGCCGAUCAGCCUCUCAGCUCGGCUACCCAUCGUCGACUUGGUGGGCCGUUACCCCGCCAACUAUCUAAUGGGACGCGAGCCCCUCCUCUGCGGAUUGCUCCUUUGACCUCAUCCCGAUGCCGGGUCGUGGUCUUAUGCGGUAUUAGCAUCUGUUUCCAAAUGUUAUCCCCCUCAAACGGGUCAGGUUGCUACACGCGUUACUCACCCGUUCGCCACUAGGUNUAAAACCGAAUCUUACACCCCGUUCGACUUGCAUGUGUUAGGCACGCCGCCAGCGUUCGUCCUGAGCCAUGAUCAAACUCUGA